GACGAACGCUGGCGGCGUGCUUAACACAUGCAAGUCGAGCGGUAAGGCCCUUUCGGGGGUACACGAGCGGCGAACGGGUGAGUAACACGUGGGUGACCUGCCCUCAGCUCUGGGAUAAGCCUGGGAAACCGGGUCUAAUACCGGAUAUGACUCCAUGACGCAUGUUGUGGGGUGGAAAGCCUUGUGCGGCUGAGGAUGGGCCCGCGGCCUAUCAGCUUGUUGGUGGGGUGAUGGCCUACCAAGGCGACGACGGGUAGCCGGCCUGAGAGGGCGACCGGCACACUGGGACUGAGACACGGCCCAGACUCCUACGGGAGGCAGCAGUGGGGAAUCUUGCGCAAUGGGCGAAAGCCUGACGCAGCG
Molecule: ribosomal RNA, 363 nt
Filed under: uncultured bacterium
Lineage: Bacteria
Description: bacterial SSU rRNA
Rfam family: Bacterial small subunit ribosomal RNA
Source: RNAcentral